This 359-nucleotide ribosomal RNA is filed under the name Porotermes sp. IS74. RNAcentral describes it as "partial 12S ribosomal RNA". Lineage: Eukaryota; Metazoa; Arthropoda; Insecta; Blattodea; Termopsidae. The record is from RNAcentral.
UUUAGACGUUAAUUUUUAUGGCCUGAGUAGUAUUAGUUAUGUUCUUGAAACUUAAAGAAUUUGGCGGUAUCCCAUUCCUUUCAGAGGAAUCUGUCUCGUUAUCGAUAAUCCGCGUUGGACCUUGCUUGAUUUUUUUGGUUUGUAUACCGCCGUUAGUGGUGAGGAUCUUUUGAGAGUUGGAAUUUUCUUUAUUUUUUAUUUAGGUUUAUUUCAGGUCAAGGUGCAGCUUUGUGAUUAAGUUGAUGAUGGAUUACAUUUAUUUUUGGUAUUUGGAUGGUUGAUUGUAAUUUUGAUUUGAAAUUGGAUUUGAUUGUAAUUUGUUGAAGAUUGUAUUGGUGAUUUUUGGUUCUGGGAUAUGU